AACAGUGGCGGCAGCUAACACAUGCAAGUCGAGCGGUAACACAGAGAGCUUGCUCUCGGGUGACGAGCGGCGGACGGGUGAGUAAUGUCUGGGAAACUGCCUGAUGGAGGGGGAUAACUACUGGAAACGGUAGCUAAUACCGCAUAACGUCGCAAGACCAAAGUGGGGGACCUUCGGGCCUCAUGCCAUCAGAUGUGCCCAGAUGGGAUUAGCUAGUAGGUGGGGUAAUGGCUCACCUAGGCGACGAUCCCUAGCUGGUCUGAGAGGAUGACCAGCCACACUGGAACUGAGACACGGUCCAGACUCCUACGGGAGGCAGCAGUGGGGAAUAUUGCACAAUGGGCGCAAGCCUGAUGCAGCCAUGCCGCGUGUAUGAAGAAGGCCUUCGGGUUGUAAAGUACUUUCAGCGAGGAGGAAGGCGUUAAGGUUAAUAACCUUGGUGAUUGACGUUACUCGCAGAAGAAGCACCGGCUAACUCCGUGCCAGCAGCCGCGGUAAUACGGAGGGUGCAAGCGUUAAUCGGAAUUACUGGGCGUAAAGCGCACGCAGGCGGUCUGUCAAGUCGGAUGUGAAAUCCCCGGGCUCAACCUGGGAACUGCAUUCGAAACUGGCAGGCUAGAGUCUUGUAGAGGGGGGUAGAAUUCCAGGUGUAGCGGUGAAAUGCGUAGAGAUCUGGAGGAAUACCGGUGGCGAAGGCGGCCCCCUGGACAAAGACUGACGCUCAGGUGCGAAAGCGUGGGGAGCAAACAGGAUUAGAUACCCUGGUAGUCCACGCCGUAAACGAUGUCGACUUGGAGGUUGUGCCCUUGAGGCGUGGCUUCCGGAGCUAACGCGUUAAGUCGACCGCCUGGGGAGUACGGCCGCAAGGUUAAAACUCAAAUGAAUUGACGGGGGCCCGCACAAGCGGUGGAGCAUGUGGUUUAAUUCGAUGCAACGCGAAGAACCUUACCUACUCUUGACAUCCAGAGAACUUAGCAGAGAUGCUUUGGUGCCUUCGGGAACUCUGAGACAGGUGCUGCAUGGCUGUCGUCAGCUCGUGUUGUGAAAUGUUGGGUUAAGUCCCGCAACGAGCGCAACCCUUAUCCUUUGUUGCCAGCGGUCCGGCCGGGAACUCAAAGGAGACUGCCAGUGAUAAACUGGAGGAAGGUGGGGAUGACGUCAAGUCAUCAUGGCCCUUACGAGUAGGGCUACACACGUGCUACAAUGGCAUAUACAAAGAGAAGCGACCUCGCGAGAGCAAGCGGACCUCAUAAAGUAUGUCGUAGUCCGGAUUGGAGUCUGCAACUCGACUCCAUGAAGUCGGAAUCGCUAGUAAUCGUAGAUCAGAAUGCUACGGUGAAUACGUUCCCGGGCCUUGUACACACCGCCCGUCACACCAUGGGAGUGGGUUGCAAAAGAAGUAGGUAGCUUAACCUUCGGGAGGGCGCUACCACUUGGAUUCAAG
Molecule: ribosomal RNA, 1444 nt
Filed under: Klebsiella aerogenes
Lineage: Bacteria; Pseudomonadati; Pseudomonadota; Gammaproteobacteria; Enterobacterales; Enterobacteriaceae
Description: bacterial SSU rRNA
Rfam family: Bacterial small subunit ribosomal RNA
Source: RNAcentral